CAGCCGCCGCGGUAAUACGAAGGGUGCAAGCGUUAAUCGGAAUUACUGGGCGUAGAGCGUGCGUAGGCGGUUUGUUAAGUCUGUUGUGAAAUCCCCGGGCUCAACCUGGGAAUGGCAAUGGAUACUGGCAAGCUAGAGUGUGUCAGAGGAUGGUGGAAUUCCCGGUGUAGCGGUGAAAUGCGUAGAGAUCGGGAGGAACAUCAGUGGCGAAGGCGGCCAUCUGGGACAACACUGACGCUGAGGCACGAAAGCGUGGGGAGCAAACAGGAUUAGAUACCCCAGUAGUCCCUGUCUCUUAUAC
This 301-nucleotide ribosomal RNA is filed under the name uncultured bacterium. RNAcentral describes it as "partial 16S ribosomal RNA". It matches the Rfam family "Bacterial small subunit ribosomal RNA", at positions 509 to 807 of the family's 1533-position model. The record is from RNAcentral.